CGUAACGGGAGGGACGUUCUGGAAGGUUCUGCGGCCGCCCUCAGUCGCGGGCGGGCGGAGGCGGCUCCGGGCUGCGCUUCUGUCGCUCUUCUACCGUCCUUGUGUCGCCGAUUCGCGGCUGUCGCGGCGGGCCCGGCGCUAUGGGGGUGACUCACGAAGCGGGGCUCUCCCCUCAGGACCCGUGCGGGGGCAGCCCGGCGGGCUGGAGCCGGAGCGCGCAGGUGCCUCAGGGGAACCAGCGCGGGGCGUGCCCGGCGGCGCCCAGCGGAACAGAGACGGGGCACUGCAGAGCAGCGGCGCGGCCCGAGGCGGCGGCUGACGGCGCGCAGAAAGGCGGCGCGGGGCAGACGGCCGACAUGGCGGAGUUCAUGGACGACCUGACGCUGCGCUCUCCCGAGCGCCGGAGCCCUGCGGCGCGCUCCCGCUCCUCCGGCCGCUCCAGCUCCCGCUCCUCGUGCAGCUCCCGCUCCAGCUCCAGCAGCUCCUCGGGCCGCUCCGAGCGCAGCUGGAGCCGCUCCCGCUCCCGGUCGCGCUCUCGGCGGCGCGGCUCCCGACGCUCCCGGCGCCGCUCCCGCUCCUACUCGCGCAGCCGCUCCCGCUCCCGGCGCUACCGCGGCCGCUACCGGCCCCGGCGCUACCGGCGGCGCUACGGCCGGCCCCGCUCGCGCUCCCGCUCCCGCGGCAGGGCCUGCUACCGCCGCUCGUACUCGCGCAGCCGCUCCCGCUCCCGCGGCCGCCGCUACUACGGCUUCGGCAGGAGCGUCUACCCCGAGGCCUACCGCGGCUGGAGGAGCCGCUCGCGCUCCCGCUCGCGGAGCCGCUCCCCGCUGCACCUCAGCGAGAAAGACAAGAGGGAACUCCUGGAAAUUGCGAAAGCCAAUGCUGCCAAAGCUCUGGGAACAGACAACAUUGUCCUGCCAGCGAGCCUGAGGAUCUCUGCUCCUGCCAAGGAGAUCAAAACUGAGAGGCAGGAGCAUGAGGAAGCCACGGAGUCAGCUGAGAUGUUGAGAGAGUGCAGAAGAAGAGGCCUGCCUCCCUUGCAGAUAAGUUUGUUGUUGUUCUCCGGAGGAUGGGUGUGCAGAGCUGUGUCCCUGCUCUGGCGCAGCUCCUGCUGCCACCCCGAGUCCCUCGGGGCUCUGACGGGGCCUGGAGCUGCCUCCGCUCCCCCGGGGAUGGGCACGGCUGCCUGGGCAGAGCUGCCUGCCCCCAGUGGGCUCAGCACUGCUGUGCUGUGGCUUUAGAGCUGCCUGAGGUGAAACUGUGACCCGCUCCACAGAAAGCUGUGCUGUGCAAUGCCUGCCCUGGCUCGGGGAUCCCCUCUGAGCUCUGUCUGCUCUUCUCUAGCAACCCGGGAGUGCCGCUGAGGACGUGAGCAAGGCUGGCGUGGAGAGAGCGACCAUCCAGAGGAGCAUUUCCUUCAGCCCCAAUAACACAAUGGCCAAGCCCGCCCUGCAGAAGCCAGUGAGCCAUGCUGUGGUGAAGGAGCCGGUGGUGUCCCCGGCCAGGGAGGAUGACAGGAAGGGAAGCCCCUACGGGCAGUGGGUUCCUGUCAAGAAGGAGGAGAAGAAAACAUUCCUGAACUUCUCACCCAGAAGCUCCUUGUUCCGGGCGCGCUGAUCCCGCAGCGCUGCGCCCCUCGGAGAGAGGGACACUUUGGGAUUGAAGACUUGUUAAUACUGAGUAUUUAUUUUGAGGUCUUAAUUUUUGGAAUCUUAGGUUUCUCUUUCAGAUAGAGAGCACACAGAUCCAGAAGCCACAGAUGGGAAUCUUGUGUAUAUCUGUAAAUAUUUUAUAUUGCUUUAUUGGACUAGAACUUGCAGGUGGGUAACUUUUUCUAAACCAUAGUUGAGUAGCUGUUCUUUGCACACCUGGAUUUCCCUCGUGUAACUGUUUACUUAAGUGAAUAAAGUUUAGUUUUGCACUGGCUGGGUGUGUCGGGUGUCAGGCCUGAGUCCCUGUGGGUAUUCUGGGUUCGCCCUGCGCUCCCCAGCUCCUCUCUGCAGCACGGCAGAGCUGCUGCCUCAUUCCAGAGCUGAUCCUUGCUUUCCGUCCCUGGGUCCCCUCUGGAAGUGGGGCCGUGUGGCCGUUCAGUCACCCUGUCCCCAGGUAGCAGAGUUGGAGAUCAGCCUGCUGUGAAGGGAGGGAAAGGGCAGGAGGGUUCAGGAGAAAGGAGCUCUUGCAGGGACUGGGAGUUACUGGUCGCACUCGGCUUUUGUAUAAAUAAAUUAUUAAUAAAAUAAACUGAACUGGACUGCU
Molecule: RNA transcript, 2256 nt
Organism: Motacilla alba alba
Lineage: Eukaryota; Metazoa; Chordata; Aves; Passeriformes; Motacillidae
Gene: RSRP1
Gene name: arginine and serine rich protein 1
Exons: 6
Source: RefSeq, a predicted model, not a curated record